This 476-nucleotide ribosomal RNA is filed under the name Neisseria pharyngis. RNAcentral's name for it is "bacterial SSU rRNA". It matches the Rfam family "Bacterial small subunit ribosomal RNA", at positions 30 to 494 of the family's 1533-position model. Lineage: Bacteria; Pseudomonadati; Pseudomonadota; Betaproteobacteria; Neisseriales; Neisseriaceae. The record is from RNAcentral.
AUUGAACGCUGGCGGCAUGCUUUACACAUGCAAGUCGGACGGCAGCACAGAGAAGCUUGCUUCUUGGGUGGCGAGUGGCGAACGGGUGAGUAACAUAUCGGAACGUACCGAGCAGUGGGGGAUAACUAAUCGAAAGAUUAGCUAAUACCGCAUAUAUUCUGAGGAAGAAAGCAGGGGACCAUUUGGCCUUGCGCUGUUUGAGCGGCCGAUAUCUGAUUAGCUGGUUGGUGGGGUAAAGGCCUACCAAGGCGACGAUCAGUAGCGGGUCUGAGAGGAUGAUCCGCCACACUGGGACUGAGACACGGCCCAGACUCCUACGGGAGGCAGCAGUGGGGAAUUUUGGACAAUGGGCGCAAGCCUGAUCCAGCCAUGCCGCGUGUCUGAAGAAGGCCUUCGGGUUGUAAAGGACUUUUGUCAGGGAAGAAAAGGAUAGGGUUAAUACCCCUGUCUGAUGACGUACCUGAAGAAUAAGCACC